CUUCCACGUCCGAUCUUCUCACUUAUCCUUCUUACGCUUUAUUCGUACGCUAUCAUUAACCCAGUUACUAUACUACGCACUAAGAGUCUACGCUAGAAGUUAUUUUCUAAAACUAUCAUUUCCGUCAGCCCUCUAAUCGCAUCUUCCAAUCUUUGUUAUUUCUUCCACAACUUGUUCCGUUAUCUUUUUCUUUGCUUAUUCUUUCCAUCUUAACCGCUAAUAUACGAUACAAAUCUUACUUCUUAAUCGUUGCGAUGAAGCAACGAUCGCAAAUCGAAAGUCCGUAUUUUAAUAGCUUUACCGGCUUAGAUACUCGUUUGGACGACUUUCGCGAUUAUUCGUUUCGCGAUGUACGUACGCGGACACGCGUUUACGAGGAAACAUAUAAACGACGUCAUAGUAACAUGUGUGGCGUUUAUGUGUGUGUACGUGUGUGCGUACUUUAUAAUCUCUAAAUAUUUGAUGGGCGGACCGUGCGGCUGCGUUCCCAUCUGCGCCAGUGUCAGCUUCAAUUAUUAAAGCUUUGCCAUAUGUCCUUGCUCUUCCCUACCCCUUGCUCAUCCCUCUUUCUCUCUUUCUCUUAUCCCCCCUCCGUCUAUUCGUGGCUGUAUGUAUGCGCGUGUUCGCGAAGCAUGCGCUCGCAGUCCUGUUUCGUUUUGUCUUCCUCCUCCCUUGAUUCCCUCAGUCGAUAGUCACGUUUUACGCCUGUUGCGAAUCCGUAUCGUUGACUCGAAUCACAAAAGCGCGUAAUUGCGCGAACGACCAACGCAUAUGGAUUUCCCCAUAUGUAUAUACGUACGUACUUAUAUGUAUAUGUAUAUGUAUAUGAUAAGUCUUUCGUCCCUGGAUCGGUAUACGUUCUUGAAAAUCCAAUUCAAACUCUGUCGGAUAACAACGAGAGGAAAUAGGUAAAAAUCGUACUAAUGGGCAAUAUCGAACGCUCCUUGUUCUAUGAUUGGUCGAACGGUUAAUUUCCUACAGAACUUUCGUCGCAGAGGUAUUUCUUAGCCGAUGGCAUGCGAUUUUAUCGUUUCAUUGCCAAUUAGCCUGAAUUUAGAAUACGCGAAUCGAUAACACCAGUUCCCCACCGAUAGAUCGCCUUUUGCCUCUCGAAGCGAACGAUCGGGGGAUCAGGCCCGAUCAGUCCCGAAUUUAGAUUUAGGAUCGUUGAUUACUUCGUGCUGUUCAGCGCGGAAUUAGUUACGUUCAAGAACGGUCGAUCCAUUUUCAAACAUGAUUUUUUCGAAAACUAACUCCGAGACGAACGAACUUCAACGACGAAUCAUCCAAUGACCACUUGUACGCGUUAUUCGAAUCUUAUAUUCGUCAUUACGCUGUUCAUACACUUAUUAUUAAACUACUUACGCGAGAGAACGUUCCACGAGAGAUAGAAUACACGUGUGCGCGGUAUACGUAUAAGGCUACCUGGAGACAGUAAACGAAAAACGUGAAUAACAUUCGAUUGGAAACGUCGAUCGUUUCGCUCGAUUAUCUCCGAGUUAUUUCCGAUGAGUGGCUCUUUCUCACGAUUCGAACGAGUUUCUCUGCGAGUCAAGGUUCGGAAUAUUUACGCUGGAUCGUUGUCGAUGGGUGGAGCGCAGGCAGGUGGCGAUCAUUCCGGCUCUGCGAGCCGUGGCCGUGGACGCAGCGAGGAACGCCACUGUCGGGCCGCGCGUGUCAUCGGUAGGCCGAAUUAUUUCGCGAGGAUCGCGUGGUUCUUCGCACCUGCCGCUGUCAACCGUGAGAAGACGAGAGUGUUCGUCCCGUCGAUGACUCGACUCGACUCGACUCGAUCGGUCGAUCGAUCCCAUUCGACAUCCGCACGUCGAUUUCAUCGUUCUCGAUCAAUUUCGCUUGACUUUCGUUUCUUCUCUUUUCGCGAUCCUCCCCAACGCAUGAAACUUUGACUCGAUAUCUUAGCUCGGAGUUAAUUGACACCUCUGUCGCAGCUGGACAGCUAAUUUCGCUGUAGCAUCAUCGCCGAAGACGAAGGGGCGAUAACGUUCACGUUUACUUUUUGUCGGCUAUCAGGCCGUAUCCGCCGUAUCCGUUUCUGUCGCGUUUCGGAACAGCAUUCAAAGGUUUUCGUUCGUCUUUGGAAUCUGUAUGAAUGACGCGUGCACCUACGUUAUUGCUCAAACGCUAUGUGAACGCUUGCUGCUUACUUCUGACGGAAUGUAAUAUUUAUUUAUUUGUUGUUUACCGCCUGCACAUUCUGUGCUAUAUAACGAUUAGCGUGAAAGUAGAGAAAGUAGAAUACGCCUGAAGGUGUUGGAAAAGGAGAAGAAGCUGAUCUUGUCGCAAUACGAAUUUACGUCUGUAAUGAGCCUAUUAUAUGUAUUACGUUAUACAAUUAUGUUGCCCGCAGCGGGUUGAGUGAAAUUCUUGCCAGAGAAGGGGACAGUGUAUAAUAGUGAGCGGAGAAAUCCGAAGACCGAAUUGCGUUAAAAUUUCGGGGCAGUUUAUUAAGCCGUUUGGUGUUUUAUGUCCAAGGAUAGGUCGUCGAUAGCAGACGUCGACGAUCAGGUAUCCAUAAAUUUAAAGGGUUUAACACUACGACUGAUUGACCAACAAACUGAGGUAUAUUCUGGUCGAAAGGACGAUAGCAAGUAAGAAUAUGGUCUGUGACAGUGAUAUUUAUACGAAAAUAUCGAUGAGCGUUAACCGUUCUCCAUCAACGGUUACUCGAGCGUGGUGUUGGGAAAAACCCGUUUUCCUGUGUUUUAUAGCCAUGAGCAAUAGUCCUAAGAAAUUUCUCGAUUUUUAAAAUGUUUGUAACGGUGGGGCGUAAAAAAUGGUAAAUAUUAUGGAGGUUUCUUAGGAUUAUUAUGGGCCUGAGUCUUGACAGCUGGUGGCCAUCUUGACCGAGGGAUGGAUUAUGUUUUAUAAUAAAAUUACGGAUAUAAUAACUAUUGUUAUUUGUUAUUACUGAUUUUGUUUGUUAUCUGACCUUGAGAUAGCCUUUUCUUUGUACUGAUUGUAUUUAUUUUAAGAAUAACUAAAAUAUUUUGUCGGCUGGUCAAAUUGACCGCUUACGGUACGCAAGGCAAAAUACAAAUUUUUCUUAGAAAAUGAAUAGAGCAAGCUAACAGUAAUUAUCGAAAAAUAUAUUGUAUGCAUGUUUUAGGAAAAGUCCGAAAUUAUGAAGCUGUAUGACAACGUUUGAAUAUGGUUAAAUUUGUGUAGAAGUUCGAGAGCGGUCAAUUUGACCGGCGCUGGUAGGUUUGGUGUUAAUAGCUGAGAAUAAUCGUGUUCAUCGAAGGACAUGGGACGAUCCAAAACGCGUGCCGCUAAUAUUGUUUCAAAAUUACAGAUAAGAAGAUCUAAGAUCGUUUAUGAUAAAAUGAAAUUGAUAAAAUCAUCGAUCGAACGAUAACAUUGAAUUAACAGUCAGAUGAAUUCUUUUGAUCGAUAGAAUUGAACGAUAAAGAGCGGCGUGAUAAAAUUUACUCUUGUAAAUUAGUAUGCAACGAAGAAAUUGGAAUCUGCGAGCGUCGAACAUUAUGCGGCAGAUUUACUCUUUAAGAGGUUCGUUAUUCUCAGCGCGUUUGAGUGUCAAAUUAUACAUACGAUAGGAAGGAAGAUUCUCGUAAAUUGGUAAAAAGGCUACCGUGAUUCUAGCAAUAAUAUUUAAAAUUGAUGAGCACUCUGACGAAUUUUCUGUUUUUUUCUACCAUUUAAUCAAACCAUUUGUGCUUCAUACGAUAUAUACGUUAUGAAUAAAUUUCUUUAAAUGGCUUUAUUUAUGCCUUCAAGGUUCUGAGGUAAGCGCUGAGCUGUUCGACUCAUUCCUCUUGCCAGAAGGUUCGUCACCUCCCCCACUCCUUGGCCAGAUCCUUCCAGGGCAUUCUUAUCAUCUUACACGCGCUGUAGAGCACUGUGACGUCGGGUCAUCGGCUACACGUGCGUUCCUGGGAACUUCGAAACUGUAACGUUCGCGUCUCUUAGAAUUUGUCAACCAAAACUUUGCACACAUUGCACACAUCUGUGACAGAGCUCGUCGGCAAACCAAAAUUAAUGGCAUUGGCAGCCCGAUGGCUUUCGAAAGGCCUUGAUAGGUGCAGUUGCUCCUACGGAGUUCCGGAAAAAAAAUCGAUCGAAGGUGCCCACGUAUUCACGAGUUGCGGUGUAUGCACGUGGUUUCGAAGGCUCCGCGUCGUAACUCGUAGCCGUUCGAAUCCGAAGGGACAUCGACGAAAACUCGGAUCGGAUAAUCGUCCUUUAAACGCUUUCUCGAGGUCCGAGACACGGUCUCGCUCGAUUGGUUCGGAACGAAGCGAAGAGGCGGAGGAUUUCUGAAAUUGCUUGACGAACGCUGCGAACGUAAACGGUAGCAGAGUGAAGAUUCGCAAGAAAAACUAUGGACAAGAACAAGACAAGGAGAUGGGAAGAUGCGGAGUUUCGACGAUUCGAACAGGGGGUUGUUGGUAUCGAGGUGGAAAGCGAAAAAGUUAUGUCGCGGCGGCGACGGAACGCAAUACAGGGAAAGAGCAUUGCCGGAACUCAACAGGUUUCUAACGCUUGAACGGUUUGAAAAUCGGUAUUCGUUAGAAUAGACGGCAGGAAGGAAGGAUGAGUGGAACAGGUGCAAGAAAAAUGCGGAUGGGUUUAAGGUAUCGGUUACAAAGCUCAGCAAGAGUCGACUGUUUGCGAGGCCGAGUCGCAUCAAGACUGUAUUCUUCGUCGAGGAAAAUUUACGAAUGCCAAGAGCGCGGGUGGUGCCAGGGCGUGAGCGAGCGUAACGAGUUCCUUGGCGCAGGUUUGAUUUAUGCCAGGUCGUAAGGAAAGAAAGCGACCCCUCACCUGCCGAGAGCUAUUCGCCGACCGACGAUGUUCCAACCUAACGAUGACCUGACGUUUUUCUUCCCUUCGCUCUGUGUUUUCCAAACGAUGUACGUUCGAUCUCGACUGGCCGAUUCCUUUUUUGUUGCCCAUGUGGCGUAGCUACGGUAUAGCGACUGUCGUGUCCUUGACGGAAAGCACCAAGAAGCAUCGUGAAGCAUCAAGAAGCAUCAAGGAGCAUCGUGAAGCAUCGUGAAGCAUCGAGAAUCAUCGAACGGGGAAAAUCGUAUUCUCGAUUGAGUAUUUCGGAGAGCCUUAACCCGUCACCAACUAUACAGGUGUCUUUGGACCGCUCGAGGUAAUAAUGCCGGUAUAACCGAACAACUGUUCGAUGACCCAGGUGGUAGAGGAAUUGUAUAGGAUGACACCGAUACUCCAAAUACGGCAGACGACCAACAGAGUCAUUGUUCACGCUGUAACCGAUACCCUCAGCUUCCGAGAACGGAUCGAUCUUCUCUACCUGUACGUACUUCUGUCCGCGUAAUUACCUGGCCUUUGCCCGCAUCUUUGUCUUUGUAUCCUGACGCGCCCACGUGAUGCUCGGCAUUCUUCGUCUCACGCUAUUCGUUCCUCGAUUCGCCUCGUACGUUUUUGGCAAACGACAACGUGGAAAGACACAGCGAUCGAAACUGCAGGGGAACGCGCGCAAACAAUCGUCUUUAUCAUCGUAACUAUGAAACGAGAUAUUGUUUCAGAUUCUGUCACUAACCGCCGCAGCUCGUCUCUGCCCAAACGUUUUUUCGGAAUAUCGGAGAUCGAUGCAGGAUUUAAUAACAAUCACAAUGGAACAGUCUUUUCGUCUAGCGAAACGAAUUCCUGCGGAUGAUCGAUGGUGAUUACGUUGCUUUGUUUUCGUACUUGUUUCUUCUCGGGAUUGUUCCACGGUUGUAACUGACCGCUACCAAAAAUGGUAAACGUGAGUGCGCCAAGACAAUAAAUCCAC
Molecule: long non-coding RNA, 5785 nt
Organism: Bombus terrestris (buff-tailed bumblebee)
Lineage: Eukaryota; Metazoa; Arthropoda; Insecta; Hymenoptera; Apidae
Exons: 5
Source: RefSeq, a predicted model, not a curated record